UACGUAGGGUGCGAGCGUUAAUCGGAAUUACUGGGCGUAAAGCGUGCGCAGGCGGUUUUGUAAGCCAGGUGGGAAAUCCCCGGGCUUAACCUGGGAAUUGCAUUUGUGACUGCAUGGCUAGAGUGUGUCAGAGGGGGGUAGAAUUCCACGUGUAGCAGUGAAAUGCGUAGAUAUGUGGAGGAAUACCGAUGGCGAAGGCAGCCCCCUGGGAUAACACUGACGCUCAUGCACGAAAGCGUGGGGAGCAAACAGG
RNAcentral lists this ribosomal RNA (253 nucleotides) under uncultured bacterium. Its description in RNAcentral is "partial 16S ribosomal RNA". It matches the Rfam family "Bacterial small subunit ribosomal RNA", at positions 524 to 776 of the family's 1533-position model. The record is from RNAcentral.